UACGUAGGGGGCUAGCGUUGUCCGGAAUCAUUGGGCGUAAAGCGCGUGUAGGCGGUCCGGUAAGUCCGCUGUGAAAGUCGGGGGCUCAACCCUCGGAUGCCGGUGGAUACUGUCGGGCUUGAGUACGGGAGAGGCGAGUGGAAUUCCUGGUGUAGCGGUGAAAUGCGCAGAUAUCAGGAGGAACACCAAUUGCGAAGGCAGCUCGCUGGAACGUUACUGACGCUGAGACGCGAAAGCGUGGGGAGCAAACAGG
Molecule: ribosomal RNA, 253 nt
Filed under: uncultured bacterium
Lineage: Bacteria
Description: partial 16S ribosomal RNA
Rfam family: Bacterial small subunit ribosomal RNA
Source: RNAcentral